RNAcentral lists this ribosomal RNA (547 nucleotides) under uncultured bacterium. RNAcentral's name for it is "partial 16S ribosomal RNA". It matches the Rfam family "Bacterial small subunit ribosomal RNA", at positions 355 to 895 of the family's 1533-position model. The record is from RNAcentral.
UGGGGAAUUUUGGACAAUGGGCGAAAGCCUGAUCCAGCAAUGCCGCGUGUGUGAAGAAGGCCUUCGGGUUGUAAAGCACUUUUGUCCGGAAAGAAAUCCUUGGCUCUAAUACAGUCGGGGGAUGACGGUACCGGAAGAAUAAGCACCGGCUAACUACGUGCCAGCAGCCGCGGUAAUACGUAGGGUGCAAGCGUUAAUCGGAAUUACUGGGCGUAAAGCGUGUGCAGGCGGUUUGCUAAGACCGAUGUGAAAUCCCCGGGCUCAACCUGGGAACUGCAUUGGUGACUGGCAGGCUAGAGUAUGGCAGAGGGGGGUAGAAUUCCACGUGUAGCAGUGAAAUGCGUAGAGAUGUGGAGGAAUACCGAUGGCGAAGGCAGCCCCCUGGGCCAAUACUGACGCUCAUGCACGAAAGCGUGGGGAGCAAACAGGAUUAGAUACCCUGGUAGUCCACGCCCUAAACGAUGUCAACUAGUUGUUGGGGAUUCAUUUCCUUAGUAACGUAGCUAACGCGUGAAGUUGACCGCCUGGGGAGUACGGUCGCAAGAUU